This 363-nucleotide ribosomal RNA is filed under the name Triticum aestivum (bread wheat). RNAcentral describes it as "partial small subunit ribosomal RNA". Lineage: Eukaryota; Viridiplantae; Streptophyta; Magnoliopsida; Poales; Poaceae. The record is from RNAcentral.
AUGCCCAAAUCAGGAUAUCCAGAGAGGUCGGCCCUUGUCCAGGGUGAAGAUCAGCACCAUGACGGUGAAAGACAACCUCCUGGCGGCUGGUGGUUUCCAUGGGGAGCUGAUCUGCAAUGCAUCCCACCGCCGAUCCAUAUCCAGAUCAGCUGCAUCGUCGGUUCCGCACACAGGCCAAGGGAAAUGACUACCGUUCCAGGGUCUCCGGUCUGGGAGCUCAUGAAGAAGAACAACUACUUCUUGAUCAAGCAGUUCGGCAACAGCAACACCAAGGUGCAGUUCAGCAAGGAGCCCAACAACCUCUACAAUAUCCAGUCCUACAAGUUCUCGGGCUUGGCGAACAGCAAGACCGUGGCGGUCUAG